AGAGUUUGAUCAUGGCUCAGAACGAACGCUGGCGGCAGGCCUAACACAUGCAAGUCGAACGAGAAGCCACCUUCGGGUGGUGGACAGUGGCAGACGGGUGAGUAACGCGUGGGAACGUGCCUUUCGGUUCGGAAUAACCCAGGGAAACUUGGGCUAAUACCGGAUACGCCCUUCGGGGGAAAGAUUCAUUGCCGAAAGAUCGGCCCGCGUCGGAUUAGCUAGUUGGUGGGGUAAUGGCUCACCAAGGCGACGAUCCGUAGCUGGUCUGAGAGGAUGACCAGCCACACUGGGACUGAGACACGGCCCAGACUCCUACGGGAGGCAGCAGUGGGGAAUAUUGGACAAUGGGCGAAAGCCUGAUCCAGCCAUGCCGCGUGGGUGAAGAAGGCCUUAGGGUUGUAAACCCCUUUCAGCGGGGAAGAUAAUGACGGUACCCGCAGAAGAAGUCCCGGCUAACUCCGUGCCAGCCGCCGCGGUAAUAC
Molecule: ribosomal RNA, 482 nt
Filed under: uncultured bacterium
Lineage: Bacteria
Description: bacterial SSU rRNA
Rfam family: Bacterial small subunit ribosomal RNA
Source: RNAcentral